RNAcentral lists this ribosomal RNA (875 nucleotides) under uncultured bacterium. RNAcentral describes it as "bacterial SSU rRNA". It matches the Rfam family "Bacterial small subunit ribosomal RNA", at positions 8 to 872 of the family's 1533-position model. The record is from RNAcentral.
AGAGUUUGAUCCUGGCUCAGAUUGAACGCUGGCGGCAUGCCUUACACAUGCAAGUCGAACGGCAGCAUGAUCUAGCUUGCUAGAUUGAUGGCGAGUGGCGAACGGGUGAGUAAUACAUCGGAACGUGCCCUGUAGUGGGGGAUAACUAGUCGAAAGAUUAGCUAAUACCGCAUACGACCUGAGGGUGAAAGUGGGGGACCGCAAGGCCUCAUGCUAUAGGAGCGGCCGAUGUCUGAUUAGCUAGUUGGUGAGGUAAAGGCUCACCAAGGCGACGAUCAGUAGCUGGUCUGAGAGGACGAUCAGCCACACUGGGACUGAGACACGGCCCAGACUCCUACGGGAGGCAGCAGUGGGGAAUUUUGGACAAUGGGCGAAAGCCUGAUCCAGCAAUGGCCGCGUGUGUGAAGAAGGCCUUCGGGUUGUAAAGCACUUUUGUCCGGAAAGAAAUGGCUCUGGUUAAUACCUGGGGUCGAUGACGGUACCGGAAGAAUAAGGACCGGCUAACUACGUGCCAGCAGCCGCGGUAAUACGUAGGGUCCAAGCGUUAAUCGGAAUUACUGGGCGUAAAGCGUGCGCAGGCGGUUGUGCAAGACCGAUGUGAAAUCCCCGAGCUUAACUUGGGAAUUGCAUUGGUGACUGCACGGCUAGAGUGUGUCAGAGGGGGGUAGAAUUCCACGUGUAGCAGUGAAAUGCGUAGAGAUGUGGAGGAAUACCGAUGGCGAAGGCAGCCCCCUGGGAUAACACUGACGCUCAUGCACGAAAGCGUGGGGAGCAAACAGGAUUAGAUACCCUGGUAGUCCACGCCCUAAACGAUGUCAACUAGUUGUUGGGGACUCAUUUCCUUAGUAACGUAGCUAACGCGUGAAGUUGACCGC